This 25-nucleotide non-coding RNA is filed under the name Mus musculus (house mouse). The record is from RNAcentral. Lineage: Eukaryota; Metazoa; Chordata; Mammalia; Rodentia; Muridae.
UAAAAAAUGCUUGCAGCAAUUAAGA